UGUGCCGCAGGGGAGGAGACACAUGGACUUGUGCUGGGCUCACAGCUUCCUAAGCAAAAACAGCAAAGACCACUCCCAGCCUCCUCCAACCACAGGGCGGCUGUGCUGGUGGGAAAGGUGGUGUGUGUGUCUAUGUGUGUGCAUGUGGGGUACAUGCUUGUGGCGUGCACUCAUGUGGCAUGCACUCGUGGCAUGUGUGAUACGGUGUGUGUAGUGUGUGGUGUCUGUGGUCUGUGUAUGGUUUGUGUGUGUGUGUGAUGUGCUGUGGUAUGUAUGGUGUAUGUGUGUAUGUUUGUGUGUGAUUUGCUAUGGUGUGGUGUGUAUCAUUUGUGUGUGUGGUUUGCUCCUUUGUGGUGUGUAUGCUUUGUGUUUGUGCGUGUGGUGUGCUCUGCUGUAGUGUGUAUGGUUUGUGUNNNNNNNNNNNNNNNNNNNNGUGGUGUGUAUGGUUUGUGUGUGUGCUGUGCUGUGGUGUGUAUAGUUUGUGUUGUGUGUGUGCUGUGCUAUGGUGUGUAUGGUUUGUGUGUGUGUGUUCUGUGCUAUGGUGUGUAUGGUUUGUGUGUGUCUGUGUGCUGUGCUGUGGUGUGUAUGAUUUGUGUGUGUGUGUGCUGUGCUGUGGUGUGUAUGGUUUGUGUGUGUGCUGUGCUGUGGUGUGUAUGAUGUGUGUGUGUGUAUGUAUAUGUGGCAUGCUGUGGUGUGUGUGUGUCCCAAGCUGCACAGGGUUGUCACACAGCCCGAGUGCCCUGGUCCCUGCGUUCUUUGUAAUCACAGCCAUGGCAUCUGAGUGUGGCUGGGAGGGAGGCCACCUGCCUGCUUUCCGAGGAUCUCAGCUUUGGGGUGGUAUCAGGGGUGACAGAUGCCCCAGGCGUCUUCUCUCCAGGAGUCAGGGUGGGGUCUCCGAGAGAACAGCACUCAUUGUGAUGAGUGGUUCUGCUUUCUUCCCAGGCCGCCUGCUGUGGGCAGUGAGUGGAAUUUCCCAAGGCUGGCCGGCUUUAGUGUGGCUGUGCGGGAGGGCACAGCAGCAGCACCUGGGCCCACGGAGCUGCCGGAGCUGGGCCCCACUGCCCCCAGCCGCUUGCCCUGCCAGGGAAGGAAACGCCCAGUGGGCAAGAGGUGAUUAUAAGGGAGCCAACGUAGUGGCUGGCAUUUCAGCGAGGAUCCGAAGGCAACAGCACCAGAAUCACAAGUCAGGACAGAUCCCAGAUCCCAGCAGCGCUGAGCCCAUGCAGAUGGAGCAGCCUUGCUAG
Molecule: long non-coding RNA, 1244 nt
Filed under: Pan paniscus (pygmy chimpanzee)
Lineage: Eukaryota; Metazoa; Chordata; Mammalia; Primates; Hominidae
Description: lncRNA (ENSPPAG00000044329.1)
Source: RNAcentral